GACUUGUAAUCAGUAGGUUGGGGGUUCAAGUCCUC
Molecule: small RNA, 35 nt
Filed under: Bombyx mori (domestic silkworm)
Lineage: Eukaryota; Metazoa; Arthropoda; Insecta; Lepidoptera; Bombycidae
Description: ovarian small RNA-15655
Source: RNAcentral